RNAcentral lists this long non-coding RNA (205 nucleotides) under Manihot esculenta (cassava). RNAcentral's name for it is "long non-coding RNA (MESC_LNC010404)". Lineage: Eukaryota; Viridiplantae; Streptophyta; Magnoliopsida; Malpighiales; Euphorbiaceae. The record is from RNAcentral.
CCGGAUGUUAUCCCCAAAUUCUAUUCUGUUCAUGAGUUGUUUCGAAUCCAUCUGCCGAAGCUGGGGUUUCACACCCACGGCCUGUCUAUUCGUCACUUUCUUCCAUCUCGUUAGGGUGAUUCAGAAUUUCUAUUAUUUUUCCCCCUGUAGUGGGUUGUCUCUUUUCACGGGCUACAAGGAUUCCAUAAAGGGAUGGGUUGAGAAU